UGCCUUACACAUGCAAGUCGAACGGCAGCACGGAGCUUGCUCUGGUGGCGAGUGGCGAACGGGUGAGUAAUAUAUCGGAACGUACCCUAGAGUGGGGGAUAACGUAGCGAAAGUUACGCUAAUACCGCAUACGAUCUAAGGAUGAAAGUGGGGGAUCGCAAGACCUCAUGCUCGUGGAGCGGCCAAUAUCUGAUUAGCUAGUUGGUAGGGUAAAAGCCUACCAAGGCAUCGAUCAGUAGCUGGUCUGAGAGGACGACCAGCCACACUGGAACUGAGACACGGUCCAGACUCCUACGGGAGGCAGCAGUGGGGAAUUUUGGACAAUGGGCGAAAGCCUGAUCCAGCAAUGCCGCGUGAGUGAAGAAGGCCUUCGGGUUGUAAAGCUCUUUUGUCAGGGAAGAAACGGUGAGAGCUAAUAUCUUUUGCUAAUGACGGUACCUGAAGAAUAAGCACCGGCUAACUACGUGCCAGCAGCCGCGGUAAUACGUAGGGUGCAAGCGUUAAUCGGAAUUACUGGGCGUAAAGCGUGCGCAGGCGGUUUUGUAAGUCUGAUGUGAAAUCCCCGG
Molecule: ribosomal RNA, 566 nt
Filed under: uncultured bacterium
Lineage: Bacteria
Description: bacterial SSU rRNA
Rfam family: Bacterial small subunit ribosomal RNA
Source: RNAcentral